UAAUUUGCAGAUUUGGGUUGAUAUAAAUGUUUCAGAGAGGCAGAGCUGCUCUGGAAGCAGCAGUAAUCUGAUUAGUUGAGUUAAAUCACACCAAAUGAGUGGUUUGGAUAAAGCAACAUAUCCAGGUUUUUGAUUUUGUGUGUGAGUAAACGGCCACAGAGGUGUGCGGCCAAAGAGAGAAGCUACCGACCCGGUCUCCAGCGAUUUCUACAGGUUGAUAUUUAUGUAUUGUGCUGUUAGAUGUUGGUGGGUCAACAUGACGGAGCGUUUGGUUUAGUGUUAGUUAACGUGACAGAAUAACACCAUGAGGUAUGGAUCAUGUAAAUGACCAAACGUGAAAAUGAUUACAAAAUCACUCAAGUCAUUCAUUCGUGGUUCUGUUUGCACAUUGCAUGCAACAGUUUCUGAUCUGUAUUUUGUUUGGUAACACUAAUGGAAGUUGUCUCUGCUCUCUCCUUAAGCAAACAACUUAAUCCUGCUGCUGUUGUUAAUGAUGUCUCUGAUCUGCAAUAUGGUCGUGCCACUGGUUGUUUACCAGUGCAUGCGCCGCCAGUCGCGGCGGGACAGGAAUCAGUGGGUGGAGAACUCAACCCAUGGGUCGAAUGAAAACUUGCCAGAAGACGAGGAGUUUAAGUCUCUCUUUGUCACACAGCCCCCUGAGUGUCACUCCGUCCUCACACAUUCAACUGGGAAUUCUGCUGCUGCUGAAGAGAAAACGCAGCUUUAAGGGCCCUGCUCACAACAUCGCCUCUGUACAUUUUUAAUGCAGCGCAGCUAUGAAAUGUAACAAUGCAGCUGGAUCCCAGGAGCAUUAGCUCUAUCAGACAGUUUGUUUUUGUUGCGUCACAACUACAGCAAAGUUGGCGGCGCUCUCACAGGUGUGCGGAUGUUUGUUGGCAGCAACACCAGCUGGGGAACCUAAUACUACUGGAGUUAUGCGUUUGUGUUUGAUGCUUGAAAAAAAAUACACAGACAACAAUGUCAUUUCAAACCGGGACAGCUAAAACCUGACUGGCCCAUUGGAGUUUGUAGCUUUUUGCUAGCACGUUUCCAAAAGUGGGUUGGAAAUGUUGCCAGGUUUAGUUUCGCAGCAGAUAAAGUUCUCUGGGCAUCAGAUAAAAUCCUAAAAAAAGCACCGAAAUAUUUUGGUAGCUCAGUAUUUUUUGUUGCAAUUGUAUUGAGUUUCAUUGUGAUGUAGGUGAAGUUGAAAUGCUAGUCAUGUUCCAAAGAAAUAAUAUUUGACAUGGAUCUUUGGUUGAGCUGCCCAGAUAAUUGUUUUUUUCACUGUUUUGGAAUACUUAUGAGCCUUAGUGAGUUAGCUAGCUUAAUAUUCUAAGUACUUAAAUGUGAUAACCAAACAAAGGCAUUUUGACCAAUUUCAUAAGCUGUGAAAACAUACUUUAGUUAAUGUGAAAAACAUUUAAAAGUUAUUUGAUAGGUUCUCCCACUGACAAGCUUCAUAAAUAUGAUACAGUCUUUGUGUUUAAUAUUGUAUUUAGAGGUUCCACUAUGUAUAUUGUUUGGACAGGUUACCAAAGCCACUUAGGGGCCCUCAAACAACCUCAAACACGUUUUCUGCCUUUCAGAAGCGUUUUCAACAUUUUAUCAGCAAUCAGUUGAUAACAUUUUCUAGCAUUUUAUAAUCAUAACCGCAUUUAAUUUGGUUUUACAUUUGCCUCUCAUUAUAUUUGUAAUAAUGUUGUACUUACAGUUCUACAGAAGCCCUGAAAGGCAAGAUGGAACAAAAAGUUUUGUUGGGGCAUCGUCAGCCAAAACCUAAGUUUAAGUCCUACAGCUUGGAUUUUUUGGGUUUGUUGGGUUAAACAGUGUAUAUAGGCUAUAGAGUAUAUGGCUAAUUAAUAUUCACUCGCAUGUAGUCCGAUGAUGUCAUUAACGUUAUUAACAAGAUAAACAGUAAGACUACAUAUGAGACAGCUUUAGUUUCCGCAUGUUUGUAGCAAUUCCCUAUAUGUGCUGUUUAAUGGCAGCGGAUGAGGGCAGAUUGAAAUAUGGUUUGCUACAUUUUUAUGCCUGUUGAACAGGUGUAGCCUAUUGGCUCGUUUCUCUUCUUCUUCUGGCUUUUUUUCAGCUGCUUAGAUGCCUUGCGGCACGUUGCUGACACUGUGAGUGCAAAUGCAGGAGACACGGAAACUCUGACUAAUCAGAUCCGACUGGGCCUCUUUUGGGAGGGGGAUUUAAAGAGACAGGCACUAAAGCCAGGCACAGAGCGUUUUAAACAGAGGGUGAAUACAGGUAUAUUCAGACAGAAUAUUACAGUAGUAAUAAUGUUUUUUUAACAG
Long non-coding RNA from Sander lucioperca (pikeperch), 2300 nucleotides. RefSeq lists it as uncharacterized. The transcript is spliced from 4 exons. NCBI's taxonomy places the organism in Eukaryota, Metazoa, Chordata, Actinopteri, Perciformes, Percidae. The record is from RefSeq and is a predicted model, not a curated record.